This is a non-coding RNA of Cinara cedri, 1169 nucleotides long. The record is from the annotation of a GenBank genome assembly. Lineage: Eukaryota; Metazoa; Arthropoda; Insecta; Hemiptera; Aphididae.
UUAUUAUAAUAUUCCGAUUUUAAUACAUAUUUUAAAUACAAUGCGUUUUCAAAACCCGACACACAUUACUUUAUGAAAUACUAAAACACUUUUAUGCGGCAGACAAAAUGAACGUUAAAUGAUCAAAUAUAAGUUUGGCAAACUUACUCACUGUUUUAUCGGUACUUAUAUAUUAAUACUAACUGUAUAAUCAUUAUGUUACAUAAGUUAGGUAAUUUUUUAACCGAUUUUUGGUAGAUUUUCGUGGGCAAAAUUCAGUCUGUUUCAUACAAAUCGAAUUUUAGACUCUGAAUGUACAGCGAAUAAGAUUCACUAAAAAACGUGGGUUUUCUUUUUUCUCAGAAAACACUUUUUGAGAUUGGUAAAAAAAAAAAUGGUCCAAUUUUUCAUCCCGUACUUUUAAUGCGGAUUUUAAGCCCCGCGGUACUUUAAUUGAAAAAAAAAAUGCCUAGAUUCCUAACAGUCUUUCUAUUGAAAUUAAAAUACUGAUAUCAAAUAUCGAUACCCCCAUAGUACGUGUCACACACGUUUACCUUAUUUUUAUUUUGUUUUUGUAUUGAUUACUGUAGCCUAUAUACACUUAACAAUUAGGGAAAUACAACAUAUUUAUAUCGUAAAUAUUACAUGCUGAAAUUACAAAUAACUAUUGCACAACACUUUUACAAGUAUAAUAGCUAUAAAAAAUUUACUAUAUACUUAUACUGUCGCAUAAGUACUAGGAAAAAAUGGUACCUAUCUAUCUACCCAUACUUAAACAAAAAAUAAUAAUAUUUAAAAAAAAAUUAUUACAUUGACAUGAAUUUAGUUCAACGACUGUCGUGGUUUAUCGCUGAUAGUGAUGAUAGAUUGGUAUAAUAUUAUAAUGAUUAUACGUACCUACCUACUAUUAUACAGUUGUAAGAUAAUAAGAUGUAAGAUGGACACUCGACAAGAAUAGUUAAUGUGACAUUGGCAAAAAUAUUCACAAUAAUAUAUCACAACUGUAGUUAUACAUAAUAAUAAUAAACUCUUGUCAUGCCUAUUGAACGAUAUUCAAGAAGUAUUGAUAAAUCAUAAUAAUAAUAAUAUAUAGAUAGACGUUGUGACAUAAAUACAUCAUAUUAUUAUUACUUUAUAAGAUGAUAUGAUUCAUACAAAUAUUUAUAUAUAUUUAUUAGCUUAGACAUGUA